RNAcentral lists this ribosomal RNA (254 nucleotides) under uncultured bacterium. RNAcentral describes it as "partial 16S ribosomal RNA". It matches the Rfam family "Bacterial small subunit ribosomal RNA", at positions 524 to 776 of the family's 1533-position model. The record is from RNAcentral.
UACGGGGGGAGCAAGCGUUGUUCGGAUUUACUGGGCGUAAAGGGCGCGUAGGCGGUCGUGACAAGUCACUUGUGAAAUCUCCGGGCUUAACUCGGAACGGUCAAGUGAUACUGUCGGACUAGAGUACAGAAGGGGCAACUGGAAUUCUCGGUGUAGCGGUGAAAUGCGUAGAUAUCGAGAGGAACACCAGUGGCGAAGGCGGCUGCCUGGCCUGUAACUGACGCUGAGACGCGAAAGCGUGGGGAGCAAACAGG